This 465-nucleotide ribosomal RNA is filed under the name uncultured bacterium. RNAcentral's name for it is "partial 16S ribosomal RNA". It matches the Rfam family "Bacterial small subunit ribosomal RNA", at positions 28 to 507 of the family's 1533-position model. The record is from RNAcentral.
GACGAACGCUGGCGGCGUGCUUAACACAUGCAAGUCGAACGGCAAGGCCCUGCUUGCAGGGUCCUAGAGUGGCGAACGGGUGAGUAACACGUGGGUGAUUUGCACUGCACUUCUGGAUAAGCCUGGGAAACUGGGUCUAAUCCCGGAUAGGAGACAUUUUUAGCGUGAUGGUUGGAAAGUUUUUUCGGUGUUGGAUGAGCUCGCGGCCUAUCAGCUUGUUGGUGGGGUGAUGGCCUACCGAUCCGACGACGCGUAGACGGCCUGUGGGGGUGAACGGCGGCAUAGGGACUUAGAGACGGCCCAGACGCCUACGGGAGGCAGCAGGGGGGAAGAUUGCACAAGCGGCGCAGGGCGGAUGAAGCGAGGCCGCGUGUGGUAUAACGGUCUUCGUGUUGUAAACUCCCUGCGCGAGAGACCAAGCUUUUUGUGACGGUACCUAGAGAAGAAGCACCGGCUAACUACGUG